GUGGGGAAUCUUCCGCAAUGGACGAAAGUCUGACGGAGCAACGCCGCGUGAGUGAUGAAGGUCUUCGGAUUGUAAAGCUCUGUUAAUCGGGACGAAAGAGCCUAGUGUGAAUAAUGCUAGGAAGUGACGGUACCGGAAUAGAAAGCCACGGCUAACUACGUGCCAGCAGCCGCGGUAAUACGUAGGUGGCAAGCGUUGUCCGGAAUUAUUGGGCGUAAAGCGCGCGCAGGCGGAUCUGCCAGUCUGUCUUAAAAGUUCGGGGCUUAACCCCGUGAUGGGAUGGAAACUACAGAUCUAGAGGAUCGGAGAGGAAAGUGGAAUUCCUAGUGUAGCGGUGAAAUGCGUAGAUAUUAGGAAGAACACCAGUGGCGAAGGCGACUUUCUGGACGAAAACUGACGCUGAGGCGCGAAAGCCAGGGGAGCGAACGGGAUUAGAAACCCCUGUAGUCC
RNAcentral lists this ribosomal RNA (450 nucleotides) under uncultured bacterium. RNAcentral describes it as "partial 16S ribosomal RNA". It matches the Rfam family "Bacterial small subunit ribosomal RNA", at positions 354 to 796 of the family's 1533-position model. The record is from RNAcentral.